CUCGAAGCACACGACCAGUCAUCGUGAAAU
Molecule: ribosomal RNA, 30 nt
Filed under: Armillaria sp.
Lineage: Eukaryota; Fungi; Basidiomycota; Agaricomycetes; Agaricales; Physalacriaceae
Description: partial 28S ribosomal RNA
Source: RNAcentral